Molecule: unclassified non-coding RNA, 672 nt
Filed under: Hevea brasiliensis (rubber tree)
Lineage: Eukaryota; Viridiplantae; Streptophyta; Magnoliopsida; Malpighiales; Euphorbiaceae
Source: RNAcentral
UGAAGCUUGAAGAUGCUCCCCAAGUUUCCCUCCUUCAAAAGAGUCACCUUGAACUCCUCUCACAAACAACAUUGCAUACUUCCCUGUAACCAAUGGAUCUUCUCCUGGUGUCUCUUGGCCUCUACCCCAUCUUGGGUCUCUGAAUAUAUUAAUAUUCGGUGCCCAAAAUGUGAGUCCAGUUGCUUGUCCAGCAUUGUACAGUGCUCUAGCUUCUUUUCCAAUCACUUGACCAAUGCGAAACCAGAUCUGGGGAUUGAAAGAAGCAGCUGUGAGAAUGACCUGAGGGAAGCUGGUGGCAGACCGAAUGGUUCCAUUGAAGUUGAUGCCAUAGGUUGUAUUGCCCACGUAGGCUACACCAUGCAAUGCUUCGUCCCACCACUGGUAGCUAGGAAUGCCAAGUCGAGGAAUUGGAGGGGCUGUGUUAACUAGUUGGGCUAUUUUUUCAUCUAAUGUAAGUCUAGAGAUAAGGUCUUGGACCCUUUGGCUUAUGGAUAAUGUGUUACUGCAAAAAGGAUAGAGUUUUGUUGAUGGGUUAGACAAGUCGCAUGCGAAUGGAGGUGAAACUGACUCAACCAAGUGAACCAGUGAAGUAAUGUUAAUGAAGACUGUGACUAUGAGGAUUAUAAGUUUCAUCUUUUCAUUCAUCUUUUUGAUUACCAAUCAAGAUGUAAG